ACGGGUGCGUAACGCGUGGGAAUCUGCCCUUAGGUUCGGAAUAACAGCUGGAAACGGCUGCUAAUACCGGAUGAUAUCGCGAGAUCAAAGAUUUAUCGCCUGAGGAUGAGCCCGCGUUGAAUUAGGUAGUUGGUGGGGUAAAGGCCUACCAAGCCGACGAUCCAUAGCUGGUCUGAGAGGAUGAUCAGCCACACUGGGACUGAGACACGGCCCAGACUCCUACGGGAGGCAGCAGUGGGGAAUAUUGGACAAUGGGCGCAAGCCUGAUCCAGCAAUGCCGCGUGAGUGAUGAAGGCCCUAGGGUUGUAAAGCUCUUUUACCCGGGAAGAUAAUGACUGUACCGGGAGAAUAAGCCCCGGCUAACUCCGUGCCAGCAGCCGCGGUAAUACGGAGGGGGCUAGCGUUGUUCGGAAUUACUGGGCGUAAAGCGCACGUAGGCGGCUUUGUAAGUCAGAGGUGAAAGCCUGGAGCUCAACUCCAGAACUGCCUUUGAGACUGCAUCGCUUGAAUCCAGGAGAGGUCAGUGGAAUUCCGAGUGUAGAGGUGAAAUUCGUAGA
Molecule: ribosomal RNA, 557 nt
Filed under: uncultured bacterium
Lineage: Bacteria
Description: bacterial SSU rRNA
Rfam family: Bacterial small subunit ribosomal RNA
Source: RNAcentral